Molecule: ribosomal RNA, 1448 nt
Filed under: uncultured organism
Description: SSU rRNA
Rfam family: Bacterial small subunit ribosomal RNA
Source: RNAcentral
CUACAGGCUUAACACAUGCAAGUCGAGGGGCAGCAUGGUCUUAGCUUGCUAAGGCCGAUGGCGACCGGCGCACGGGUGAGUAACGCGUAUCCAACCUGCCUUACACUCUUGGACAGCCUUCUGAAAGGGAGAUUAAUACAAGAUGUUAUCAUGAGUAAGCAUUUUCGCAUGAUUAAAGGUUUACCGGUGUAAGAUGGGGAUGCGUUCCAUUAGAUAGUAGGCGGGGUAACGGCCCACCUAGUCUUCGAUGGAUAGGGGUUCUGAGAGGAAGGUCCCCCACAUUGGAACUGAGACACGGUCCAAACUCCUACGGGAGGCAGCAGUGAGGAAUAUUGGUCAAUGGACGAGAGUCUGAACCAGCCAAGUAGCGUGAAGGAUGAAGGUUCUAUGGAUUGUAAACUUCUUUUAUACGGGAAUAAACGAAUCCACGUGUGGAUUUUUGCAUGUACCGUAUGAAUAAGGAUCGGCUAACUCCGUGCCAGCAGCCGCGGUAAUACGGAGGAUCCGAGCGUUAUCCGGAUUUAUUGGGUUUAGAGGGAGCGUAGAUGGGUUGUUAAGUCAGUUGUGAAAGUUUGCGGCUCAACCGUAAAAUUGCAAUUGAUACUGGCAGUCUUGAGUACAGUUGAGGUAGGCGGAAUUCGUGGUGUAGCGGUGAAAUGCUUAGAUAUCACGAAGAACUCCGAUUGCGAAGGCAGCUUACUAACCUGUAACUGACAUUGAUGCUCGAAAGUGUGGGUAUCAAACAGGAUUAGAUACCCUGGUAGUCCACACGGUAAACGAUGAAUACUCGCUGUAGGCGAUAUACAGUCUGCGGCCAAGCGAAAGCAUUAAGUAUUCCACCUGGGGAGUACGCCGGCAACGGUGAAACUCAAAGGAAUUGACGGGGGCCCGCACAAGCGGAGGAACAUGUGGUUUAAUUCGAUGAUACGCGAGGAACCUUACCCGGGCUUAAAUUGCAACCGAAUAUGGCGGAAACGCUAUAGCUAGCAAUAGCGGUUGUGAAGGUGCUGCAUGGUUGUCGUCAGCUCGUGCCGUGAGGUGUCGGCUUAAGUGCCAUAACGAGCGCAACCCUUGCCGAUAGUUACUAACAGGUCAUGCUGAGGACUCUGUCGGGACUGCCAUCGUAAGAUGUGAGGAAGGUGGGGAUGACGUCAAAUCAGCACGGCCCUUACGUCCGGGGCUACACACGUGUUACAAUGGGGGGUACAGAGGGCUGCUACCACGCAAGUGGAUGCCAAUCCCAAAAACCUCUCUCAGUUCGGAUUGAAGUCUGCAACCCGACUUCAUGAAGCUGGAUUCGCUAGUAAUCGCGCAUCAGCCACGGCGCGGUGAAUACGUUCCCGGGCCUUGUACACACCGCCCGUCAAGCCAUGGGAGCCGGGGGUACCUGAAGUGCGUAACCGCAAGGAGCGCCCUAGGGUAAAACUGGUGACUGGGGCUAAGUCGUA